Molecule: long non-coding RNA, 406 nt
Organism: Gallus gallus (chicken)
Lineage: Eukaryota; Metazoa; Chordata; Aves; Galliformes; Phasianidae
Source: Ensembl
CAUUUAUUCCCACUAGACUGGCAUCUCCAACUCACAAGCUAUUUGGCAUAUGAUCAUGGCAUCAUGAGUGACUGUGGCUACCAGGGAAGACAGAAAUGAAGAAUGUACUUAUUUUCCACGGGGUGCUUAUGAUGACUUUAAUAUCAGCUUUAUUCAGAAUUCAGCCUUGCAGAGGAGAAACACAGAAGUGUAAGAGCAAACUGAAAAAUAUGAGAGGGUGUUUGGCACAAGGUUAAGCAUUUUUAGAUCAACACUGGACAACGGGGCUCAGGCUGCCACCAUGCUUCAUCCGUCUCCUCGUUUGCACCAGCAAAUACCACUGCUCUCCUGUCUCACAGAAUAAAGGAGAAGCAGGCAGAUUCCUGCCUUAUUUACACAGAGAAGUCAGAGGUGUGAUGAGACCUCG